AGCAGCCGCGGUAAUUCCAGCUCCAAUAGCGUAUAUUAAAGUUGUUGCAGUUAAAAAGCUCGUAGUUGAAUUUCGGGAUUAAUUUACUGGUCGUGCUAUUGUACGUACUGGUUUUAUUGAUUCCUCCCUUCUGACGAACUAUGAUGUCAUUAAUUUGGUGUCAUAGGGAAUCAGGACUGUUACUUUGAAAAAAUUAGAGUGUUUAAAGCAGGCUCACGCUUGAAUACAUUAGCAUGGAAUAACGGAAUAGGACGUUUGAUUCUAUUUUGUUGGUUUCUAGGAUCGACGUAAUGAUUAAUAGGGAUAGUUGGGGGCAUUAGUAUUCAAUUGUCAGAGGUGAAAUUCUUGGAUUUAUUGAAGACUAACUACUGCGAAAGCAUUUGCCAAGGAUGUUUUCAUUAAUCAAGAACGAAAGUUAGGGGAUCGAAGACGAUCAGAUACCGUCGUAGUCUUAACCAUAAACUAUGCCGACUAGGGAUCGGAUGAUGUUAAUUUUU
This 497-nucleotide small RNA is filed under the name uncultured Glomus. RNAcentral's name for it is "SSU rRNA". It matches the Rfam family "Eukaryotic small subunit ribosomal RNA", at positions 569 to 1071 of the family's 1831-position model. The record is from RNAcentral. Lineage: Eukaryota; Fungi; Glomeromycota; Glomeromycetes; Glomerales; Glomeraceae.